GGAGGAGAAUACCUAAGCUUUGAACCAGCGAAAUCUCACGAUUUCUCUGAGUUUCCUUCUGUACGAUCGUGAAUGGAGAGGAGCUGGUAGUAGAUGGCCACCUAUUACUGGUGGUGGGAAAGACGGUGGGGGAUCCUCAAUCGAGAGGAGGGAUGGGAUGAGAAACCCUAGAGGAGGGAAGGCGAACAGCUGUGGAAGCUGAAUCAAUGGAAUGGCGAACGAGUGGAUGAUCGAAGAGUAAAAACUAAAACCUUUAUUCAGUUUGCCCUAAGGCCUAAGGAUUAAAGGGUAAAGAAAAAUAUAUAUUGGGU
Molecule: long non-coding RNA, 311 nt
Filed under: Elaeis guineensis (African oil palm)
Lineage: Eukaryota; Viridiplantae; Streptophyta; Magnoliopsida; Arecales; Arecaceae
Description: long non-coding RNA (EGUI_LNC005348)
Source: RNAcentral